CUGACCCUGCUGUGCAAGUGAUGUUGCACUCAAAGUUUUGUACCAACACGUACUUAAAGGGUUCCACUCUUUCAGAACUAACGCGAUAGGCUAGAGCCAAGGCGAGACUUCUGUCGAAGAACCCACCUGUGAAAACAGGUUCAAAACAUAGCAGCACACGGCAUGCGCGGGGUUACC
This 177-nucleotide non-coding RNA is filed under the name Anaerolineae bacterium. RNAcentral's name for it is "6S RNA". It matches the Rfam family "6S / SsrS RNA". From Rfam's summary of the family: E. coli 6S RNA was the first non coding RNA to be sequenced, but its function was unknown until recently. The record is from RNAcentral. Lineage: Bacteria; Bacillati; Chloroflexota; Anaerolineae. RNAcentral also lists the same sequence under 2 other names.